GCCAGCGAAGCUCUAAGGUUGAGCGAGUCCUUCAUGAGGACGAGGUGUUGGUUCAACUCCAACCUUUGGCC
This 71-nucleotide transfer RNA is filed under the name Mrakia frigida. RNAcentral describes it as "tRNA-Met (CAT) (tRNA-Met-CAT-3-1)". It matches the Rfam family "tRNA". Rfam says of the family: Transfer RNA (tRNA) molecules are approximately 80 nucleotides in length. Lineage: Eukaryota; Fungi; Basidiomycota; Tremellomycetes; Cystofilobasidiales; Mrakiaceae. The record is from RNAcentral.